RNAcentral lists this ribosomal RNA (391 nucleotides) under uncultured bacterium. RNAcentral's name for it is "bacterial SSU rRNA". It matches the Rfam family "Bacterial small subunit ribosomal RNA", at positions 28 to 412 of the family's 1533-position model. The record is from RNAcentral.
GACGAACGCUGGCGGCGUGCUUAACACAUGCAAGUGGAGCGACGAACCAGGCUUCGGCCUGGGGCAAAGCCGCGAACGGGUGAGUAACACGUGGGUAACCUGCCCCGAUGACUGGGACAACCCGGGGAAACUCGGGCUAAUACCAGAUGUGGUCACUCCACACGAGUGGAAUGACUAAAGGUAGCUUCGGCCUCCGCAUCGGGAUGGGCCCGCGGCGCAUUAGCUUGUUGGUGGGGUAAUGGCCUACCAAGGCGACGAUGCGUAGCUGGUCUGAGAGGACGAUCAGCCACACUGGGACUGAGACACGGCCCAGACUCCUACGGGAGGCAGCAGUGGGGAAUCUUGCGCAAUGCGCGAAAGCGUGACGCAGCAACGCCGCGUGGAGGAAGAC